GUGGUGAACCUUCACCUCUCACUUCCUGUAAGGCCUAGUCUGAAAGGGAAAGCAUGGCAUGGUGGAGACACUCUGUAUUCUGGAUGGAUUCUCCUGGAUUAAAGAUGGGCCGCUGUCAAAGCACCUGACCAAGACUGACAACUGGUGAAUGGAAAACCGGAAUAAGCACUUGGAAGAAGAAAACCGACAACCGAGACAACUUGCCUUUGAUUUGCCUGGCGUAAUGGAUACUUUGAAAACCACAA
Rana temporaria (common frog) is the source of this 245-nucleotide long non-coding RNA. RefSeq lists it as uncharacterized. The record is from RefSeq and is a predicted model, not a curated record. Lineage: Eukaryota; Metazoa; Chordata; Amphibia; Anura; Ranidae. The transcript is spliced from 3 exons.